GGUUAAGCGACUAAGCGUACACGGUGGAUGCCCUGGCAGUCAGAGGCGAUGAAGGGCGUGCUAAUCUGCGAUAAGCGCCGGUAAGGUGAUAUGAACCGUUAUAACCGGCGAUACCCGAAUGGGGAAACCCAGUGUGAUUCGUCACACUAUCAUUAACUGAAUCCAUAGGUUAAUGAGGCGAACCGGGGGAACUGAAACAUCUAAGUACCCCGAGGAAAAGAAAUCAACCGAGAUUCCCCCAGUAGCGGCGAGCGAACGGGGAGGAGCCCAGAGCCUGAAUCAGCAUGUGUGUUAGUGGAAGCGUCUGGAAAGGCGCGCGAUACAGGGUGACAGCCCCGUACACAAAAGCGCAUGUGCUGUGAGCUCGAUGAGUAGGGCGGGACACGUGGUAUCCUGUCUGAAUAUGGGGGGACCAUCCUCCAAGGCUAAAUACUCCUGACUGACCGAUAGUGAACCAGUACCGUGAGGGAAAGGCGAAAAGAACCCCGGCGAGGGGAGUGAAAAAGAACCUGAAACCGUGU
Molecule: ribosomal RNA, 521 nt
Filed under: Salmonella enterica subsp. enterica serovar Infantis
Lineage: Bacteria; Pseudomonadati; Pseudomonadota; Gammaproteobacteria; Enterobacterales; Enterobacteriaceae
Also listed under: 12 other names
Description: partial 23S ribosomal RNA
Rfam family: Bacterial large subunit ribosomal RNA
Source: RNAcentral